UACAGAGGGUGCGAACGUUGCUCGGAAUUACUGGGCGUAAAGCGCGUGUAGGCGGAUCGGCAAGUCAGGCGUGAAAUCCCCAGGCUCAACCUGGGAACUGCGCUUGAAACUGCCGGUCUUGAGUGUCGGAGAGGGUGGCGGAAUUCCUGGUGUAGAGGUGAAAUUCGUAGAUAUCAGGAGGAACACCGGUGGCGAAGGCGGCCACCUGGACGACAACUGACGCUGAGACGCGAAAGCGUGGGGAGCAAACAGGAUUAGAACCUCCGGUAGU
RNAcentral lists this ribosomal RNA (271 nucleotides) under uncultured bacterium. Its description in RNAcentral is "partial 16S ribosomal RNA". It matches the Rfam family "Bacterial small subunit ribosomal RNA", at positions 524 to 794 of the family's 1533-position model. The record is from RNAcentral.